This 388-nucleotide ribosomal RNA is filed under the name uncultured organism. Its description in RNAcentral is "bacterial SSU rRNA". It matches the Rfam family "Bacterial small subunit ribosomal RNA", at positions 45 to 433 of the family's 1533-position model. The record is from RNAcentral.
UGCUUUACACAUGCAAGUCGAACGGUAACGCGGGGGCAACCCUGGCGACGAGUGGCGAACGGGUGAGUAAUACAUCGGAACAUGUCCUGGAGUGGGGGAUAGCUCGGCGAAAGCCGGAUUAAUACCGCAUACGCUCUGAGGAGGAAAGCGGGGGACUCGUAAGGGCCUCGCGCUGCGGGAGUGGCCGAUGUCGGAUUAGCUAGUUGGUGAGGUAAAGGCUCACCAAGGCGACGAUCCGUAGCUGGUCUGAGAGGAUGAUCAGCCACACUGGGACUGAGACACGGCCCAGACUCCUACGGGAGGCAGCAGUGGGGAAUUUUGGACAAUGGGGGCAACCCUGAUCCAGCCAUGCCGCGUGAGUGAAGAAGGCCUUCGGGUUGUAAAGCUC